GACGAACGCUGGCGGCGUGCUUAACACAUGCAAGUCGAACGGACUUUUAAUGAAGCCUAGCGAUUUAAAAGUUAGUGGCGGACGGGUGAGUAACGCGUGGGUAACCUGCCGUAUACAGGGGGAUAACAGUUAGAAAUAGCUGCUAAUACCGCAUAAGCGCACAGCUUCGCAUGAAGCAGUGUGAAAAACUGAGGUGGUAUACGAUGGACCCGCGUCUGAUUAGCUAGUUGGUGAGGUAACGGCCCACCAAGGCGACGAUCAGUAGCCGGCCUGAGAGGGUGAACGGCCACAUUGGGACUGAGACACGGCCCAAACUCCUACGGGAGGCAGCAGUGGGGAAUAUUGCACAAUGGGGGAAACCCUGAUGCAGCGACGCCGCGUGAGUGAAGAAGUAUUUCGGAUUGUAAACCUUUGUAGUACAGGGAAGAAACAAAUGACGGUACCUGUAAAGUAAGCCACGGCUAACUACGUG
This 472-nucleotide ribosomal RNA is filed under the name uncultured bacterium. RNAcentral's name for it is "bacterial SSU rRNA". It matches the Rfam family "Bacterial small subunit ribosomal RNA", at positions 28 to 507 of the family's 1533-position model. The record is from RNAcentral.